GAUGAAGAACGUAGCGAAAUGCGAUACGUAAUGUGAAUUGCAGAAUUCAGUGAAUCAUCGAAUCUUUGAACGCACAUUGCGCCCGUCAGUAUUCUGGCGGGCAUGCCUGUUCGAGCGUCAUUACGCCCCUCAAGUCCCCUGUGGACUUGGUGUUGGGGAUCGGCGAGGCUGGUUUUCCAGCACAGCCGUCCCUUAAAUUAAUUGGCGGUCUCGCCGUGGCCCUCCUCUGCGCAGUAGUAAAACACGCGCAACAGGAGCCCGGCGCGGUCCACUGCCGUAAAACACCCCAACUUUUUAUAGUUGACCUCGAAUCAGGUAGGACUACCCGCUGAACUUAAGCAUAUCAAUAAGCGGAGGA
Molecule: unclassified non-coding RNA, 358 nt
Filed under: soil metagenome
Description: partial contains 5.8S ribosomal RNA, internal transcribed spacer 2, and large subunit ribosomal RNA
Rfam family: 5.8S ribosomal RNA (bases 1-120)
Source: RNAcentral